Molecule: ribosomal RNA, 123 nt
Filed under: Pasteurella multocida
Lineage: Bacteria; Pseudomonadati; Pseudomonadota; Gammaproteobacteria; Pasteurellales; Pasteurellaceae
Description: partial 16S ribosomal RNA
Rfam family: Bacterial small subunit ribosomal RNA (bases 1-110)
Source: RNAcentral
AAGUAGAUAGCUUAACCUUCGGGGGGGCGUUUACCACGGUAUGAUUCAUGACUGGGGUGAAGUCGUAACAAGGUAACCGUAGGGGAACCUGCGGUUGGAUCACCUCCUUACCUAAAAUGAAGC